Molecule: non-coding RNA, 45 nt
Organism: Schistosoma haematobium
Lineage: Eukaryota; Metazoa; Platyhelminthes; Trematoda; Strigeidida; Schistosomatidae
Source: Rfam
AUCCAGCUGACGAGUCUCAAAUAGGACGAAACGCGUGUCCUAUAU